RNAcentral lists this ribosomal RNA (402 nucleotides) under Pardosa sierra. RNAcentral's name for it is "partial 16S ribosomal RNA". The record is from RNAcentral. Lineage: Eukaryota; Metazoa; Arthropoda; Arachnida; Araneae; Lycosidae.
AAAUAUGCACGCUUUUGUGCUAAGGUAGCAUAAUAAUUUGUCUUUUAAUUAAAGACUAGAACAAAAGGUUUAACAUCUCAAUUAAUAUUUCAUAAAAAACUAUUUAAAUUAUUUUAAUUGUAAAAAAACAAUUUUAAAAAAGAAAGACGAUAAGACCCUAUCGAACUUUACUUCAGUUUAACUGGGGCAGUUAAUUAAUUAUUAUUUUAAUAAAAUUAAACAUUUAAUUUGACCUUAUAUUAUUAAUAAAAUAAUUAAGUUACCGUAGGGAUAACAGCGUAAUAAAAUUUUUAAGACCUUAUUUAAAAUAAAGAUUACGACCUCGAUGUUGAUUUAAUAUCCUAAUUUACGCAAUAGUUAAUUAAGGAAGUCUGUUCGACUUUUAAAAAAUUACAUGAUCUG